RNAcentral lists this long non-coding RNA (723 nucleotides) under Salmo salar (Atlantic salmon). RNAcentral describes it as "lncRNA (ENSSSAG00000105219.1)". The record is from RNAcentral. Lineage: Eukaryota; Metazoa; Chordata; Actinopteri; Salmoniformes; Salmonidae.
GUCAGGGACAUAAGAACCAGAAAUAAAAGAGAGAUGGGAGACGGGAAGGUGAAGGACGUAAGGAGUCAGGGACACAAGAACCAGAAAUAAAAGAGAGAUGGGAGACGGGAAGGUGAAGGACAUAAGGAGUCAGGGACAUAAGAACCAGAAAUAAAAGAGAGAUGGGAGACGGGAAGGUGAAGGUGAAGGACAUAAGGAGUCAGGGACAUAAGAAACAGAAAUAAAAGAGAGAUGGGAGACGGGAAGGUGAAGGACAUAAGGAGUCAGGGACAUAAGAUCCAGAAAUAAAAGAGAGAUGGGAGACGGGAAGGUGAAGGAUGUAAGGAGUCAGGGACAUAAGAACCAGAAAUAAAAGAGAGAUGGGAAGUUGAAGGAUGUAAGGAGUCAGGGACAUAAGAACCAGAAAUAAAAGAGAGAUGGGAAGGUGAAGGAUGUAAGGAGUCAGGGAGAUAAGAACCAGAAAUAAAAUAGAGAUGUGAGACAGGAAGGUGAAGGAUGUAAGGAGUCAGGGACAUAAGAACCAGAAAUAAAAGAGAGAUGGUAAGGUGAAGGACAUAAGGAGUCAGGGACAUAAGAACCAGAAAUAAAAGAGAGAUGGGAAGGUGAAGAAUGUAAGGAGUCAGGGACAUAAGAACCAGAAAUAAAAGAGAGAUGGGAGACGGGAAGGUGAAGGACAUAAGGAGUCAGGGACAUAAGAACCAGAAAUAAAAGAGAGAUGGGAAG